GCAAAUUAUGUUAGAGUUUAGAUUUAUUGUGGAUACAUUAUCGUGGACAUCGUAUAUUGGAUUUACGAGCCUAAGUAUCAUGUACAAAAUAUUGGACAAAUUGAUAUGGAAAAAUGUUCUCCCAACACAAUGUGCCUCUAAAGGUAAUUGGUAACAUAGAAUGUGUCUUAGGGGGUAAAAUUUUCAUGAUUUUGAUUAUUUUGUUUCUUAAGUGCAGAUGGCUGAGAUGUGUUUGGUGAUAUGUAGAGAAUGAGUCUGUGGUUCUGGGGGUAAAUGGAAGUUCGUUGUGGACAAAAAAGAUGCAUGGACGGGAGAUGUGUGGAUGAGAGAUGCGUGGACGGGAGACGCAUGGACAUGCGAUGCGUGGACGGGAGACGCGUGGAGCCACUUAUACCACCACUGUAACUACCCUCACGUCUUACACCACAGCCUCCACUGCGGUAUCCAUCGCUUCCUCCAGC
RNAcentral lists this long non-coding RNA (461 nucleotides) under Brassica napus (rape). RNAcentral's name for it is "long non-coding RNA (BNAP_LNC008962)". The record is from RNAcentral. Lineage: Eukaryota; Viridiplantae; Streptophyta; Magnoliopsida; Brassicales; Brassicaceae.